RNAcentral lists this ribosomal RNA (862 nucleotides) under Aspergillus fumigatus. RNAcentral's name for it is "LSU rRNA". It matches the Rfam family "Eukaryotic large subunit ribosomal RNA", at positions 92 to 969 of the family's 3401-position model. Lineage: Eukaryota; Fungi; Ascomycota; Eurotiomycetes; Eurotiales; Aspergillaceae. The record is from RNAcentral.
AGUGAAGCGGCAAGAGCUCAAAUUUGAAAGCUGGCCCCUUCGGGGUCCGCGUUGUAAUUUGCAGAGGAUGCUUCGGGUGCAGCCCCCGUCUAAGUGCCCUGGAACGGGCCGUCAUAGAGGGUGAGAAUCCCGUCUGGGACGGGGUGUCUGCGUCCGUGUGAAGCUCCUUCGACGAGUCGAGUUGUUUGGGAAUGCAGCUCUAAAUGGGUGGUAAAUUUCAUCUAAAGCUAAAUACUGGCCGGAGACCGAUAGCGCACAAGUAGAGUGAUCGAAAGAUGAAAAGCACUUUGAAAAGAGAGUUAAACAGCACGUGAAAUUGUUGAAAGGGAAGCGUUUGCGACCAGACUCGCCCGCGGGGUUCAGCCGGCAUUCGUGCCGGUGUACUUCCCCGUGGGCGGGCCAGCGUCGGUUUGGGCGGCCGGUCAAAGGCCCUCGGAAUGUAUCACCUCUCGGGGUGUCUUAUAGCCGAGGGUGCAAUGCGGCCUGCCUGGACCGAGGAACGCGCUUCGGCUCGGACGCUGGCGUAAUGGUCGUAAAUGACCCGUCUUGAAACACGGACCAAGGAGUCUAACAUCUACGCGAGUGUUCGGGUGUCAAACCCGUACGCGCAGUGAAAGCGAACGGAGGUGGGAGCCCCCUCGCGGGGCGCACCAUCGACCGAUCCUGAUGUCUUCGGAUGGAUUUGAGUACGAGCGUAGCUGUGGGGACCCGAAAGAUGGUGAACUAUGCCUGAAUAGGGCGAAGCCAGAGGAAACUCUGGUGGAGGCUCGCAGCGGUUCUGACGUGCAAAUCGAUCGUCAAAUUUGGGUAUAGGGGCGAAAGACUAAUCGAACCAUCUAGUAGCUGGUUCCUGCCGAAGUUU